UUAAACUAUACAUAUAUGUUGACAUGUAUGUGCGUAUAUAUGUAUAUAUGCUUGUGUAUAGAUAUUGCUAACCUCGUGUCUCUCAUACAUGUCUCUGUCUUCUGAAGAAUACCCUGGAUUUGUUUUUUCCCCUGCCUGUGUACCACCUCCUAUACUGUUUUCAAGAGCUCGCAUGCAGCUACAUACUUUCAUUAAGUGAUCUUAUUCAACCUAAUGGCUUAAAUGACUACUUUGGAGACUUCCAAGCUUACUUCAGAACACUAAAAACUCCUGACAAAUGAAAACAAUGACAAGGUGAACUGAAAAAAAGACUCCCCUCAAUGCUUGGAACAGAGAUAGUAUUUUUCUCCAACCACUUGUUUCAUUGUUUUGGACUCUACUCUGAUCUGCAAAACUUCCUGAAGAAGAAGUUGCCUGGAUCCAAGCCAUAGAUGGAGACAUGGGAGAAACCAGCAUAUAUAGAUUCAUUGCUAGACCAAACCCUUCCAUGUAACAUAAUAUUUUAAAUUAUUACUAGUAUUUCCUUCAACAGUUCUGACUUCAAAUGUCAAUGUUCUUUCUUUCAAGUAGGUUGAGAUCAAGUAUAUUUAUCAUUCAGCCUCACAAGUAGUGAUUAUUUUACUUUUCUCUUUGCCUUCACAAUUAAUCAGUAAUGAUUCUAUAGACUUUCGGUCGUACACACCUCUUGUCAAUAUAACUUUAUUGGGACAUAUUUUACAUAUCAUAUAAUUCACUUAUUUCAAGUGUACAAUCAAUACAAAAGAGUAAAUUUACCAAGUUGUGCAAUCAUCAAUAUAAAUUAGUUUUGUAUUUCCCCAAUAAGAUCCCUCAUGCCCAUGAACUUUUAAUCUUUGCUCCCUCGCUCUGCCUCAGGCAGACAAUAGUUGUCUCUCUGUCUCUAUAGAUUUGCCUUUUCUGGACAUUUCAUAUAAAUAAA
This 937-nucleotide long non-coding RNA is filed under the name Homo sapiens (human). RNAcentral describes it as "HSALNT0163635". The record is from RNAcentral. Lineage: Eukaryota; Metazoa; Chordata; Mammalia; Primates; Hominidae.